RNAcentral lists this ribosomal RNA (416 nucleotides) under uncultured Aminicenantes bacterium. RNAcentral describes it as "bacterial SSU rRNA". It matches the Rfam family "Bacterial small subunit ribosomal RNA", at positions 355 to 776 of the family's 1533-position model. The record is from RNAcentral. Lineage: Bacteria; Candidatus Aminicenantota.
UGAGGAAUUUUGCGCAAUGGGGGAAACCCUGACGCAGCGACGCCGCGUGGAGGAUGAAGGCCUUCGGGUCGUAAACUCCUGUCAGAGGUGAAGAAUACCCGCAAGGGUUUGACGGUAACCUCAGAGGAAGCCCCGGCUAACUACGUGCCAGCAGCCGCGGUAAUACGUAGGGGGCAAACGUUACUCGGAAUUACUGGGCGUAAAGGGUGCGUAGGCGGCUGGGAAAGUCAAGGAUGAAAUCCCGUGGCUCAACUGCGGAACGGUCCUUGAAACUACUCGGCUUGAGGAUAACCGAAGAGAACGGAAUUCCCGGUGGAGCGGUGAAAUGCGUAGAUAUCGGGAGGAACACCUGAGGCGAAAGCGGUUCUCUAGACUACUCCUGACGCUGAGGCACGAAAGCUAGGGGAGCAAACGGG